CCUUGGCACUUGCCUUCCUCAACCUUGUCUGUUUAUGUCUCUAACCUACAGGUUGGAUCUGCUGAGUUCCAAACUAAAGAGAAUAAAACCUGGUGCAGAGUGAGGGUCCCCUUCUCAACAGCAAGUUUUGUCUAGACUUGGUCUUGCCAGAGGCCUGGUAAGAGCUAAGGCCUGGGUACCCAUGUGGCCCCUGAGCUGCAGAAAAUACAAGGGAUACAGGUGACCUCUAGAAGCCGGAAAAGAGAUUCCUGCUGCCACACCAUUUCUACAUGCCACCAUCUUCCCUUCCGAGAGAAACCCUUUCAAUCUGGAUGUCAGACUUGAUGGGAUUCAAGUUCAUCACACUCUUGAUGGGCUGCGGGCUGCCUCUCAGCAGCCCCAUAGCGAGGAGGGUUGAUUUAUCCUUCCUCCAAUCCACCUUGUGGCCAAGGCCAAGUCUACUGUAACUGGAACCUAUUGUAACAAUCAGUUCUUCUAGGCUUCAUAUCUGCACUUGUAGGAAAGUGACAUGCCCCUGAAGUGACUCUGAAAUCAUCUCAGACAGCCCCAGCCACACUGGAAGGAAGCCACUGACAAUUUGGAAUAGCUGAGCUGAAUAAGGCUUUGGAGAGGCCAAACAAUGCUAUCAUCCCAGCUAGAAACAUUCCUGGUACUUUGGCUAAUUUCUAAGAUGCAAACUAAUUCAGUUCACUUUCAAGAAAUGAAACCCUUGAGGCUGAAGUAUCCUCACAGGAAAGACCUAAACCAAGUAGCCCAUUACCUUUCUUACAUACUUCAAAACAUGAUCUGAUCUUAUGAGGAUGCCAGUCUAACUUUGGAGAGAGAAGUAUGGGUCUGCUGAAGGACGGAACAGGGAUACUGUUAGAGAUUUCAGAUCAAGAGCUGCAGUUACUUGUACUCAAUCUCCCCACUGCUACUGUCUCCAUUACACUUGGCUUUAAGAGCAGAAAAAAAGAUCUAAGCAAACCACAGCAAAGGAAGCAACUUGUUCAAAGUUGGUGUAAAAACGUAUGUUUAUUGUGGCACUAGUCACAAUAGCAAAGACUUGGAACCAACCCAAAUGUCCAUUGAUGAUAGACUGGAUUAAGAAAAUGUGGCACAUAUACACCAUGG
RNAcentral lists this long non-coding RNA (1113 nucleotides) under Rhinopithecus bieti (black snub-nosed monkey). Its description in RNAcentral is "lncRNA (ENSRBIG00000046585.1)". The record is from RNAcentral. Lineage: Eukaryota; Metazoa; Chordata; Mammalia; Primates; Cercopithecidae.